RNAcentral lists this ribosomal RNA (63 nucleotides) under Candidatus Onthoplasma faecigallinarum. RNAcentral's name for it is "partial 16S ribosomal RNA". It matches the Rfam family "Bacterial small subunit ribosomal RNA", at positions 1 to 63 of the family's 1533-position model. The record is from RNAcentral. Lineage: Bacteria; Bacillati; Bacillota; Clostridia; Christensenellales; Christensenellaceae.
UUUUUGUAGAGUUUGAUCCUGGCUCAGGACAAACGCUGGCGGCGUGCUUUAAACAUGCAAGUC